GUCCAGCUAGCUCAGUCGGUAGAGCAUGGGACUCUUAAUCCCAGGCUCAUAGGUUUGAGCCCCACAUUGGGUG
This 73-nucleotide transfer RNA is filed under the name Fulmarus glacialis (Northern fulmar). It matches the Rfam family "tRNA". Rfam says of the family: Transfer RNA (tRNA) molecules are approximately 80 nucleotides in length. Their secondary structure includes four short double-helical elements and three loops (D, anti-codon, and T loops). Further hydrogen bonds mediate the characteristic L-shaped molecular structure. tRNAs have two regions of fundamental functional importance: the anti-codon, which is responsible for specific mRNA codon recognition, and the 3' end, to which the tRNAs corresponding amino acid is attached (by aminoacyl-tRNA synthetases). tRNAs cope with the degeneracy of the genetic code in two manners: having more than one tRNA (with a specific anti-codon) for a particular amino acid; and 'wobble' base-pairing, i.e. permitting non-standard base-pairing at the 3rd anti-codon position. Lineage: Eukaryota; Metazoa; Chordata; Aves; Procellariiformes; Procellariidae. The record is from Rfam by way of RNAcentral.